GCCGGGCGCGGUGGCGCGUGCCUGUAAUCCCAGCUACUUGGGAGGCUGAGGCAGGAGGAAUGCUUCAGUCCAGAAAUUCUGGGCUGUAGUGCGCUAUGCCGAUUGGGUGUCGGCACUAAGUUCGGUGUCAAUAUGGUGACCUCCCGGGAGCGGGGGAUCACCAGGUUGCCUAAGGAGGGGUGAACCGGCCCAGGUCCAAAACGGAGCAGGUCAAAACUCCUGUGCUGAUCAGAAAGACAGAGAGAGACAGAGAGACAGAAAGUGAGAAAUCACCCCCUAGGGGGGAUGGCCAUACCACAAUCCCUUCUCCU
RNAcentral lists this signal recognition particle RNA (311 nucleotides) under Tupaia belangeri chinensis (Chinese tree shrew). RNAcentral's name for it is "Tupaia chinensis (Chinese tree shrew) Metazoan signal recognition particle RNA". It matches the Rfam family "Metazoan signal recognition particle RNA". Rfam says of the family: The signal recognition particle (SRP) is a universally conserved ribonucleoprotein. The record is from Rfam by way of RNAcentral. Lineage: Eukaryota; Metazoa; Chordata; Mammalia; Scandentia; Tupaiidae.